This is a long non-coding RNA of Lontra canadensis (Northern American river otter), 361 nucleotides long. RefSeq lists it as uncharacterized. Lineage: Eukaryota; Metazoa; Chordata; Mammalia; Carnivora; Mustelidae. The transcript has 3 exons. The record is from RefSeq and is a predicted model, not a curated record.
UGAACCUGAAGGGACCGGCCUAAGGAGGAAUAGAUACUUUGGACAGCACAGAGGAGAGAUGGAAAGAAACUGGGUCAUUAUGACAUUGUUAAGCUGCUAGAUCUACCACGGCACUGUCCAACAGCUGGACUCUUCAUUAAUGCUAUGACGACUGAAGAAAGCAUUAUGAAGGACUGGCUGUGGGAGAUAUGGAGAGAAGGCAGUCAAGGACUGGAGUCUUUUUUCCACUUAGUUUCUAAGGACCAGAAUUAGGAAACUGCAUGAUGGAAAAAUAAACACAGGUAGUGCUACACCCCUUCUUCUCUACUAGCAGCACUCAGAACAGGAUUGCAAAACCUCAUUAGAUUUGCAAAACAUGGUA